GGGCUGUUGAAAUGAGGAACUUUCUCAUGUCUCUUCUCUGACUAGUAAUUUCUGGAGAGAAAUAAUAAUUUCUGAUCAAAGCCC
This is a small nucleolar RNA of Polyodon spathula (Mississippi paddlefish), 84 nucleotides long. RefSeq annotates it as small nucleolar RNA SNORD111. The record is from RefSeq and is a predicted model, not a curated record. NCBI's taxonomy places the organism in Eukaryota, Metazoa, Chordata, Actinopteri, Acipenseriformes, Polyodontidae. The transcript has a single exon.